UUGGAGGGCAAGUCUGGUGCCAGCAGCCGCGGUAAUUCCAGCUCCAACAGCGUAUAUUAAAGUUGUUGCAGUUAAAAAGCUCGUAGUUGAAUUUCGGGAUCAAUUUGCUGGUCGUGCCUCUGGUACGUACUGGUAUUAUUGGUUUCUCCCUUCUGACGAACCAUGAUGUCAUUAAUUUGAUGUCGUGGAGAAUCAGGACUGUUACUUUGAAAAAAUUAGAGUGUUUAAAGCAGGCAUUAGCUUGAAUACAUUAGCAUGGAAUAAUGAAAUAGGACGUUUGAUCCUAUUUUGUUGGUUUCUAGGAUUGACGUAAUGAUUAAUAGGGAUAGUUGGGGGCAUUAGUAUUCAAUUGUCAGAGGUGAAAUUCUUGGAUUUAUUGAAGACUAACUACUGCGAAAGCAUUUGCCAAGGAUGUUUUCAUUAAUCAAGAACGAAAGUUAGGGGAUCGAAGACGAUCAGAUACCGUCGUAGUCUUAACCAUAAACUAUGCCGACUAGGGAUCGGAUGAUGUUAAUUUUUUAAUGGCUCAUUCGGCGCCUUACGGGAAAC
Molecule: ribosomal RNA, 549 nt
Filed under: uncultured Glomeromycotina
Lineage: Eukaryota; Fungi; Glomeromycota
Description: SSU rRNA
Rfam family: Eukaryotic small subunit ribosomal RNA
Source: RNAcentral